GUACUGUUGAGGAGUCCUAUAAUGGGACGAAACGGCCGUCCAGUGC
This is a non-coding RNA of Schistosoma mansoni, 46 nucleotides long. Lineage: Eukaryota; Metazoa; Platyhelminthes; Trematoda; Strigeidida; Schistosomatidae. The record is from Rfam.